AUGGAAAGCUACAAUCCUUACUGCGGAAUAAGGCACCUACAUGUCUUCAUCGAUGUUGUUUUUCGAUUGAAAGACUGAGGGACUUUACACUAUCCGAACUUAUACUUCAUGAAAUGGUUCAUGCAUGUCUAUUACCGAGGGCAACAAGAUCAAGUUGGUAAAGAUUAAAAUACAUCUUUAUUUUUUUAUUUAUUUCUAUAAUCCAUGAUCAUAAAGGGGCCCCUUUACCGUUUUAUACAAAUUAAAUAUAAAAAGCGAUUCUCGUAGUAGCGGCAAGCGAAAUGAAAAUAGGGUUGUGGGAGAGCAAUACAAGUGUUGUGCUGCCAGGCGAAGUGGUGGAAUGUUGCACCCUAGAUGGCAAGAGUUCAGUAGUUGAAAGCAUCAGUAGUUUAUACUCUUACCUAAGUAGCAUGGGGCAAAUGGAAUCCUGUGUUAAUUAGUAAGGACCACCUUGAUAGGCUAAAUACUCUCAGGUGACGAAUAGCGAAGUAGUACUGUGAGGAAAGGUGAAAAAAACCCUAUCGAAGAGUGAAAUAGAACAUAAAACUAUAAGCUUCUAAAUAGUGGGAGGAGCCCAUGAAUUUGAUCCUGUGCCUAUUGAAGAAUGAGUCGACAACUUAUAGGCAGUGGCUUAGUUAAGGGCACCCACCAGAAUCGUAGUGAAAGCGAGUUUUUACAGACCAAUUGUCAUUAUUUAUGGACCCGAACCUGAGUAAUCUAUCCAUGACUAAGAUGAUCCUUGGGUGAAACUAAUUAGAGGUCUGAACCGACUGAUAUUGAAGAAUUAGCGUAUAAGUUAUGGCUAGGGUGAAAUGCCAUUCAAACCUAGAGCUAGCUAGUUCUCCCCAAAAUGUGUUGAGGCAUAGCAGUUGAUUGGAUAUCCAGAGGUAAAACACUGUUUCGGUGCAGGCCUUGAGAGGUACCAAAUCAAGACAAACUCUGAAUACUAGAUAUGACCUUAAAAUAACAAGGGUUAAGCUUAGCCAAUGAGAUGAUAGUGGAUAAGCUUCAUCGUCGAAAGGGAAACAGCUCAGAUUACUAGCUAAGGCCCUUAAAUAAAUGUUUAGUGAUAAAAGAGGUAAGGGUGUAGAGAUAACCAUGAGGUUUUCCUAACAGUAGCCACCUUUAAAAGAGUGUACAUUAGCUCACUAAUCAAGUGCUCUUGCACCAAAGAUAAAUGGGGCUAAGCAAUUUGUCAAAGUUGUGAGAUGUAAAAAUGCAUCGAUAUAGAAGCGUUUCGCCUUAAAGGGAAACGCCUACACGAGUGACAAUAGACGAAGCAGAAGCAAAACUGUCGGCUUGAAUAAUACAAACAUUGGUAAAAAUUCAGUGCCUCGAAAACCCGAGGGUUCCUCUACAUUAUUUACCUACAGAGUCAGGGUCUAAGAUCAGGCUGAAAGGCAUAGUUGAUGGACAAUAGAUGAAUAUUUCUGUACUAUCCCUUAUUGGUGCCGAGGGAUGAAAGAAGCUAGGUUAGUGGAAAGAUGGUUAUUGAUUCAAUUAAGUGAGAUGCCCCUACUUUUCACAGCAAAAAGGGGUAGAGAAAAUACCCCUAACCAAUGUUUGCGUAAUAGAUGCUAUGACACUAAAGUAACCUAUGAUAUACUCCUAGGAAAAGCUCGAACAACCUUUAAUAAAAGGGUACCUAUAUCUAAAACUAACACGGAUGGGUAGGUAGAGAAUACCUAGGGGCAUGAGAUAACUCUCUCUAAGAAACUUGACAAAAUAGCCUCGUAACUUCGAGAAAAAAGGUACUUUUUUAUAAAAGGGGUCGUAGUGACUAGGCACGGGCGGCUGUUUACCAAAAACACAAGUCUCUACAAAGUCAUAAGACCAUGUAUGAGAGCUGAUGCCUAUUCAGUGCCGGAAGGUCAAGAAGUUGGUGAUCGAUGACAAAGGAGCCAGUAACCGAAGCCCCGGUGAACAGCGGUCAUAACUAUAAUAGUUUUACGGUAGUGAAAUUACUUGUCGAGUAAGUUCCAAACUGUAAAAAAGACGUAACGAUCUGGGCACUAUCUUAGAGAGAGGCUCGGUGAAAUAGACAUAUCUAUGAAGAUACAAAUUACCUGCACUUGGACAGAAAGACCCUAUAAAGUUUCACUAUUCCCUGAGAAUGGCUUUAGGCUUUUUCUACACAGCUUAAGUGGAAGUUGAAGAAGGCCUUCUUUCGAAGGGGCCCGAGCCAUCAGAGAGUACUAAUUUAGAAGAGUUAAAAUUCUAACAACAUGCUAAGACCGACAAGCCAAGAGACAGUCUCAAAUAGAUAGUUUUUAUAGGGUGUAUGCCUCUUAUAAGCGUGCAAAGAUUUCUUUGGGGCCAAACAGAGAUUGACCUUCGAGUGCAAAGGUAAAAGAAAGCUUGAUUGCAAGACCUACCUGUCGAGUAAGGAUGAAAGUCGACCUUAGUGACCUAAUAAUAUUGAGUGGAAGGGCUAUUACUUAAUGGAUAAAAUUUACUCUAUGGAUAACAGGCUGAUCUUCCCCAAGAGCUCACAUCAACAAGAAGGUUUGGCACCUUAAUGUCGGCUUUUUGCCACCUAAAGCUGUAAUAUGUUCUAAGGGUUAGGUUGUUUGCCUAUUAAAGCAGUAUGUGAGCUGGGUUUAAAAUUUUGUGAGAUAGUUCGAUCCAUAUCUGUUAAAAGCAUCUACGUAAUAAGCCCACCCCAAGAUGAGUGCUCUUCUAUUCUGACUUCACUAUAGCCUCCAGUAGCACAGUCGAGACAACAAUGGGUUCUCUGCCUUUGUGGGGAUAGAGCGAUAAAAGUUUUGAGAAAUCAAGAGAAGGUCACGGUGACACGAGCCGUUUAUCAUUAUGAUAGGUGUCAAGUGGAAGUGUCGCCAUUAUUUUCAUUUUCAACUCUUUGACAACACGGAAAAACCACU
Molecule: ribosomal RNA, 2882 nt
Filed under: Azadirachta indica (neem)
Lineage: Eukaryota; Viridiplantae; Streptophyta; Magnoliopsida; Sapindales; Meliaceae
Description: bacterial LSU rRNA
Rfam family: Bacterial large subunit ribosomal RNA (bases 193-2751)
Source: RNAcentral